This 46-nucleotide non-coding RNA is filed under the name Trichobilharzia regenti. The record is from RNAcentral. Lineage: Eukaryota; Metazoa; Platyhelminthes; Trematoda; Strigeidida; Schistosomatidae.
GUACUACUGAUGCAUCCCAAACUAGGACGAAACAGCUGUCUAGUAC